GAUGAACGCUGGCGGCGUGCCUAGUACAUGCAAGUCGAGCGAACAGACGAGGAGCUUGCUCCUCUGACGUUAGCGGCGGACGGGCGAGUAACACGUGGAUAACCUACCUAUAAGACUGGGAUAACUUCGGGAAACCGGAGCUAAUACCGGAUAAUAUAUUGAACCGCAUGGUUCAAUAGUGAAAGACGGUUUUGCUGUCACUUAUAGAUGGAUCCGCGCCGCAUUAGCUAGUUGGUAAGGUAACGGCUUACCAAGGCGACGAUGCGUAGCCGACCUGAGAGGGUGAUCGGCCACACUGGAACUGAGACACGGUCCAGACUCCUACGGGAGGCAGCAGUAGGGAAUCUUCCGCAAUGGGCGAAAGCCUGACGGAGCAACGCCGCGUGAGUGAUGAAGGUCUUCGGAUCGUAAAACUCUGUUAUUAGGGAAGAACAAAUGUGUAAGUAACUAUGCACGUCUUGACGGUACCUAAUCAGAAAGCCACGGCUAACUACGUG
This 497-nucleotide ribosomal RNA is filed under the name uncultured bacterium. Its description in RNAcentral is "partial 16S ribosomal RNA". It matches the Rfam family "Bacterial small subunit ribosomal RNA", at positions 28 to 507 of the family's 1533-position model. The record is from RNAcentral.